RNAcentral lists this ribosomal RNA (497 nucleotides) under uncultured bacterium. RNAcentral describes it as "partial 16S ribosomal RNA". It matches the Rfam family "Bacterial small subunit ribosomal RNA", at positions 28 to 507 of the family's 1533-position model. The record is from RNAcentral.
GAUGAACGCUGGCGGCGUGCCUAAUACAUGCAAGUCGAGCGAACAGACGAGGAGCUUGCUCCUCUGACGUUAGCGGCGGACGGGUGAGUAACACGUGGAUAACCUACCUCUAAUACUGGGAUAACUUCGGGAAACCGGAGCUAAUACCGGAUAAUAUAUUGAACCGCAUGGUUCAAUAGUGAAAGACGGUUUUGCUGUCACUUAUAGACGGAUCCGCGUCGCAUUAGCUAGUUGGUAAGGUAACGGCUUACCAAGGCGACGAUGCGUAGCCGACCUGAGAGGGUGAUCGGCCACACUGGAACUGAGACACGGUCCAGACUCCUACGGGAGGCAGCAGUAGGGAAUCUUCCGCAAAGGGCGAAAGCCUGACGGAGCAACGCCGCGUGAGUGAUGAAGGUCUUCGGAUCGUAAAACUCUGUUGUUAGGGAAGAACAAAUGUGUAAGUAACUAUGCACGUCUUGACGGUACCUAAUCAGAAAGCCACGGCUAACUACGUG